Molecule: transfer RNA, 83 nt
Filed under: Mrakia frigida
Lineage: Eukaryota; Fungi; Basidiomycota; Tremellomycetes; Cystofilobasidiales; Mrakiaceae
Description: tRNA-Ser (AGA) (tRNA-Ser-AGA-1 1 to 4)
Rfam family: tRNA
About the family: Transfer RNA (tRNA) molecules are approximately 80 nucleotides in length. Their secondary structure includes four short double-helical elements and three loops (D, anti-codon, and T loops).
Source: RNAcentral
GCCGUCUUAACCAAGUGGUCUACGGUGUUUGAUUAGAAAUCACAUCCUCUCUGAGGGCGCAGGUUCGAAUCCUGCAGACGGCU